UGAGUAAUGUCUGGGAAACUGCCUGAUGGAGGGGGAUAACUACUGGAAACGGUAGCUAAUACCGCAUAACGUCGCAAGACCAAAGAGGGGGACCUUCGGGCCUCUUGCCAUCAGAUGUGCCCAGAUGGGAUAAGCUAGUAGGUGGGGUAACGGCUCACCUAGGCGACGAUCCCUAGCUGGUCUGAGAGGAUGACCAGCCACACUGGAACUGAGACACGGUCCAGACUCCUACGGGAGGCAGCAGUGGGGAAUAUUGCACAAUGGGCGCAAGCCUGAUGCAGCCAUGCCGCGUGUAUGAAGAAGGCCUUCGGGUUGUAAAGUACUUUCAGCGGGGAGGAAGGUGUUGAGGUUAAUAACCUCAGCAAUUGACGUUACCCGCAGAAGAAGCACCGGCUAACUCCGUGCCAGCAGCCGCGGUAAUACGGAGGGUGCAAGCGUUAAUCGGAAUUACUGGGCGUAAAGCGCACGCAGGCGGUCUGUCAAGUCGGAUGUGAAAUCCCCGGG
Molecule: ribosomal RNA, 504 nt
Filed under: uncultured bacterium
Lineage: Bacteria
Description: bacterial SSU rRNA
Rfam family: Bacterial small subunit ribosomal RNA
Source: RNAcentral